GACGUAGGGCGCGAGCGUUGUCCGGAUUUAUUGGGCGUAAAGAGCUCGUAGGCGGCUUGUCGCGUCGACUGUGAAAUCCCGCGGCUCAACUGCGGGUCUGCAGUCGAUACGGGCAGGCUAGAGUUCGGUAGGGGAGACUGGAAUUCCUGGUGUAGCGGUGAAAUGCGCAGAUAUCAGGAGGAAUACCGAUGGCGAAGGCAGGUCUCUGGGCUAUAACUGACGCUCAUGCACGAAAGCGUGGGGAGCAAACAGG
RNAcentral lists this ribosomal RNA (253 nucleotides) under uncultured bacterium. Its description in RNAcentral is "partial 16S ribosomal RNA". It matches the Rfam family "Bacterial small subunit ribosomal RNA", at positions 524 to 776 of the family's 1533-position model. The record is from RNAcentral.